Molecule: long non-coding RNA, 995 nt
Filed under: Canis lupus familiaris (dog)
Lineage: Eukaryota; Metazoa; Chordata; Mammalia; Carnivora; Canidae
Description: lncRNA (ENSCAFG00000044950.2)
Source: RNAcentral
UUUAGAUAUUUACUGUGGGCCAAACAUUACAUAGGCAACUUAAAUAUAAAAACCAGUAAGAAAUGAUACCUACCUGAAAGUGAUCCAAAGUAGGGGAAACAGGGGGAUGUGGAUGGGUCAGUUGGUUAAGCAUUUGCCUUUGGCUCAAGUCAUGAUCCCCAGGUCCUAGGAUCCAGCCCCAUAUCCGGCUCCCUGUUCAGGGAGGAGGCUGCAUCUUCUUCUCUCAUUCCUCCCACUUAUGCUGUCUGGCUCUCUCUCUCUUUGUCAUUAAAUAAACAAAAUCUUUAAAAACACAAAACAAAGCAAAGUAGUGGAAACAGACAUUUAAAAAAUACUGUGGUUAAGAGUUGUCACACAGGUAAGUACAGAGCACUCUGGGGCACAUAGCUCAGACUGGAGGACUCAUGCAGGUUUCCCAAAAGAGAUUAUUAAAAUGAACCUUGUAGAAUAACUAGAAGUUUGAUAGAUAAAAGUCCUUUUUGGUGCAAAGAUUUUUUUUCUAAACAUGCAGACCAGGAUGCAUAUGGACAUUUGACCUGAGUGUGAACCCAACAGGUAUUCAGAACUACAGUAUGGCUGGAACCUUGUAGGAAAGGGGAAGAUAACACUGGAGAGGCAAGUCAGAUCAGGUAAUGAAGAACACUGAACACCAUGCUGAAGAGUUAAAAUUUCAAGUGGAGGAUAAAACACAAGCGGAUUUACAUUGAAGAAGUAUGAUUCACAAAAGGCCAUGGACUCAAAAUCAGCUGGACCCAAAAAUAGUAGCUAAGCUGCUGACUGAAUCACACCGUACUUUAAAGAACGCUUCAGCAAUUUUGCUUUGUCUUUUGCCCUAGACAUCUCUUUAUAACUUUUCUGUUCUGAUAAUCUAUUCCAAAUUUCCUGCUUACCUGUGAAAUAUUUCUGCAAGGUAUUUUGCAGCCUUUUCCAUUCAUUUGUUGAGCUCACAAAAUCUCUGCUUAAAAUAUGACAUUGGUGAAAGCCAUGAAGAAAAC